This is a non-coding RNA of Callorhinus ursinus (northern fur seal), 1156 nucleotides long. Lineage: Eukaryota; Metazoa; Chordata; Mammalia; Carnivora; Otariidae. The record is from RefSeq and is a predicted model, not a curated record.
CUAGGGCUGCUGUGGGCGGCGUGUCUGCGGUGCAUCCCUCCCUCUCCUCUGCAUAUACUCCUCUCUGUCGCUUUUUGCCCAGACUUAACGUACCUUCUUCCUGGAUUCCCCUCCCCCACCCCAACGCAAACGCCUAGGUACCCGACAGCUGUUUGAAGAAGCCUGCUGGUCGCCCAAGGGGGGGGGGGGCGCUCUCGUCCCCUCUAGGCGUUCAGGAUCCGGAUUUAGGCUCCUACCACACCCCUCCGCGCCGCUGGACGAAGGGACAUGUCAUCGGGCUGUUCUGGGCCGCGGCCUCCGGGGCACGUGACCCGCGGGCAACUACGGGAACCGUCCGUGGGUGACGCCAGGCACGACUCUGUUGCCGUUGGCCCGACGCCUUCCGGCACACCUGUCCCCAAGCGCGGAGCGCAGCGGCCGAGUGACCCUGGACCCAGGCUUCUAAUGUGAGGAAAAACACGGAAUGACAAGUGUGGGAAAGAGCAAGCACUAAAUUACUGUCAGAAAAAUAAACGGAGUAGCACAGUGGUGCUCGGUGAUUUACGGGGGCAAUUAGUCACCACCCCACGGUGCUGCUGAGGACAGCACGGCAGCAGACGCGUCAGGCCUGAGAGGAAGAAGAGGCUUUGCACUGCUUUCCAGACAACUUUUCAAACAAGAGAGGAUAUUUGAGCACAUUAGGUUCCAUGUCUUCAUUCUGGGUGCCCACCCUUCACAUUAUUCAACCAACCUGAUACAUAAACGUAUUUUUAACACAAUAUUAACCUGUUCUGUGUGUUAAAAAGACUCCAACUGCAGCUUUUUUCUCUCCUGCUGUCCAAAGUAGGUUUUUCCCACCUCUUAAAUGAAACAAACCUUUCUCCACUCCCAAAUUGUCCCCCUGAUGUGUGCCUUCAGUCUGUCUCAUUACUUCUUGCAUCUUGCUAUCAUGUUCUGUAUUUGCUUGGAGCCACUGGGUGCCAAGGAGUUUGGUCUCUAGCUUUUCUGAGGAAGUUUGAUGAGCUGGUACAAAGAGGUGAUGAAUGAGGCUAUAAAACCCAGAGUAAAUGAGAAAAAUACAUAAACUUCCUGAUAUUUGUUGGCCUGUUUUUAACAUAUUCUAUACAGUGCCUAUGUAUAUGCACAUAGCAAAAUAAACCUGCUAAGAUAUAAUGAA